AUUGAACGCUGGCGGCAUGCUUUACACAUGCAAGUCGAACGGUAACAGGCCUUCGGGUGCUGACGAGUGGCGAACGGGUGAGUAAUGCAUCGGAACGUACCCAGAGGUGGGGGAUAACGCAGCGAAAGCUGUGCUAAUACCGCAUGUGAUCUGAGGAUGAAAGCGGGGGACCGAGCAGCAAUGUUUGGCCUCGCGCCUUUGGAGCGGCCGAUGUCGGAUUAGCUAGUUGGUGGGGUAAAGGCCUACCAAGGCGACGAUCCGUAGCUGGUCUGAGAGGACGACCAGCCAAACUGGGACUGAGGAACGGCCCAGACUCCUACGGGAGGCAGCAGUGGGGAAUUUUUGAACAUGGGCGGAAGCCUGAUCCAGCAAUGCCGCGGGCGGGAAGAAGGCCUUCGGGUUGGAAACCGCUUUUGGCAGGAACGAAACGGGGGCCGCUAAUACCGGGCGCUAAUGACGGUACCUGCAGAAUAAGCACCGGCUAACUACGUG
This 492-nucleotide ribosomal RNA is filed under the name uncultured bacterium. RNAcentral describes it as "partial 16S ribosomal RNA". It matches the Rfam family "Bacterial small subunit ribosomal RNA", at positions 29 to 507 of the family's 1533-position model. The record is from RNAcentral.